RNAcentral lists this microRNA precursor (84 nucleotides) under Cercocebus atys (sooty mangabey). Its description in RNAcentral is "miRNA (ENSCATG00000020796.1)". The record is from RNAcentral. Lineage: Eukaryota; Metazoa; Chordata; Mammalia; Primates; Cercopithecidae.
UAUUCGGUUGGUGCAAAAGUAAUUGCGGUUUUUGCCAUUGAAAGUAAUAGCAAAAACCGCAAUUACUUUUGCACCACCUUAAUA